Molecule: long non-coding RNA, 357 nt
Organism: Taeniopygia guttata (zebra finch)
Lineage: Eukaryota; Metazoa; Chordata; Aves; Passeriformes; Estrildidae
Source: RefSeq, a predicted model, not a curated record
GUCACAUUUACUGAAAAUCAACCUAUUGAUAUCACAGCUGAAAAUAUAAACUCGACAACCAAAGCCCAUUGCACAACGUGGACUGCGUAAGAGUUAAAAAUAGAUUUGACGUGCCUCCUACCUGCAUAAUAAAUAUUCCAUCAAAAUUCUGAGCAGUAUUGACAAACCACACGAGCACCGGGUCUGACUGCAUGAUCAGCUGUCUGUGUCUACGCUACACCCUGUUAACCACAAGCAGUGUUAGAGCUAAAUAUAUCUGCAAUGCAGAAACAGUAGGUGCUAUGUGGUAUACAAUUCUGAUUAGUUUUAAGAUAUUUUUCUAUCCUCAGAUAUAACAAAUAAAACAAAAUUUGCUGC